Molecule: unclassified non-coding RNA, 248 nt
Filed under: Hevea brasiliensis (rubber tree)
Lineage: Eukaryota; Viridiplantae; Streptophyta; Magnoliopsida; Malpighiales; Euphorbiaceae
Source: RNAcentral
ACUGAUAUUUCAGCAUCCUUUUCCAAAUCUAUUAAAGGAGCCAUGGUGGAAACGAAUUGCUCCAGUGUUAUGGCACUUGAGGGUGCUGGCUUGUUCUUGUUCUUGUUCUUGCAGUUGCUCUUCCCUUUCUCCAUUGUUACUCACACAAACAACUGAAAAGUGGGAACCGAUGAGGAUGAUGAACGUUGGAAGGCAACUAUUUCUUUUUUUACUUUCAAUUCAAUGGGGGGUUUUCAAAGGGUUAUCAA